RNAcentral lists this ribosomal RNA (300 nucleotides) under uncultured Pyrococcus sp. Its description in RNAcentral is "bacterial SSU rRNA". It matches the Rfam family "Bacterial small subunit ribosomal RNA", at positions 496 to 795 of the family's 1533-position model. Lineage: Archaea; Methanobacteriati; Methanobacteriota; Thermococci; Thermococcales; Thermococcaceae. The record is from RNAcentral.
GGUGACGCGUGCCCAGCGGCCGCGGGUGUAGCGGGGGUGCAACCGUGUGUCGCGAUCACUGGGGGUUAGGCGCGUGUAGGCGGCUCCCGAAGGCUGAUGUGAAAGCCCGGGGCGCCCCCCCGGAAGUGCAGUGGGAACUGGCGGGCUCGAGUCCCGGCGGGGAGGGUGGAAUUCCUGGUGUAGCGGUGAAAUGCGUAGAUAUCAGGAGGAACACCGGUGGCGAAGGCGGCCCUCUGGACGGUGACUGACGCUGAGACGCGAAGGCGUGGGGAGCAAACAGGAUUAGAUACCCCUGUAGUC